Molecule: ribosomal RNA, 407 nt
Filed under: uncultured bacterium
Lineage: Bacteria
Description: partial 16S ribosomal RNA
Rfam family: Bacterial small subunit ribosomal RNA
Source: RNAcentral
AUUGAACGCUGGCGGCAGGCCUAACACAUGCAAGUCGAGCGGAGCGGCGGACGGGUGAGUAAUGCCUAGGAAUCUGCCUGGUAGUGGGGGAUAACGUCCGGAAACGGGCGCUAAUACCGCAUACUAUCAGAUGAGCCUAGGUGGGAUUCGCUAGUUGGUGGGGUAAAGGCCUACCAAGGCGACGAGCCGUAACUGGUCGGAGAGGAUGAUCAGUCAAACUGGAACUGAGACACGGUCCAGACUCCUACGGGAGGCAGCAGUGGGGAAUAUGGCACAAUGGGCGAAAGCCUGAGCCAGCCAUGCCGCGUGUGUGAAGAAGGUCUUCGGAUUGUAAAGCACUGUAAGUGGGGAGGCGUUACCGACAGAAGAAGCACCGGCUAACUCCGUGCCAGCAGCCGCGGUAAUUC